RNAcentral lists this ribosomal RNA (440 nucleotides) under uncultured bacterium. RNAcentral describes it as "partial 16S ribosomal RNA". It matches the Rfam family "Bacterial small subunit ribosomal RNA", at positions 338 to 795 of the family's 1533-position model. The record is from RNAcentral.
CCUACGGGAGGCUGCAGUGGGGGAUAUUGCACAAUGGGGGGAACCCUGAUGCAGCGACGCCGCGUGGGUGAAGGAGCGUUUCGGCGCGUAAAGCCCUAUCGGCAGGGAAGAAGAUGACGGUGCCUGACCAAGAAGCCCCGGCUAACUACGUGCCAGCAGCCGAGGUACUACGUAGGGGGCAAGCGUAAUCCGGAUUUACUGGGUGUAAAGGGGGCGCAGACGGGAAUGCAAGCCAGGAGUGAAAGCCCGGGGCACAACCCCGGGACUGCUCGUGGAACUGCAUGGCUGGAGUACAGGAGGGGCAGGCGGAAUUCGUGGUGUAGCGGUGAAAUGCGUAGAUAUUAGGAGGAACACCGGUGGCGAAGGCAGCCUGCUGGACUGUGACUGACGUUGAGGCACGAAGGCGUGGGGAGCAAACAGGAUUAGAUACCCCAGUAGGC